Molecule: long non-coding RNA, 2939 nt
Filed under: Nicotiana benthamiana
Lineage: Eukaryota; Viridiplantae; Streptophyta; Magnoliopsida; Solanales; Solanaceae
Description: long non-coding RNA (NBEN_LNC013740)
Source: RNAcentral
ACCUUAAACGAUAAUAAGUAAUUUAAAAAUUAAAAUGAAAAAGACAAAAAUAAAUUAUCAAUAUUGCCUUUAAACUCAAGGAGAAAAAGAAAAUUAUGUUUUCUUGUCAUAUUUUGUUUCUAUAGCUUUUCUUAUUGAUGACCAGAAUUUUGCUGUUUCAACUUUGAAAGUUGAGGAAAAUUGGCCUAGCCUUCUACCUUUCUCCACUACGAUACCUAACUUGACAGUUUUGCUUACGUGGCAUGACCUACUACACACGUGUUGUACUCCCUCCAUUUCUGAACCAAAGCCUUGGGCUAGGCGGCCCUUUUUUCUUAACCUUACUACAAUAACAACUAUCCACGCUCCCAACUAGUUGAGUUGGGCAUUAUGUAUCUCAGUAUCCAGGUAGACCCAUUUCAUUUCUAAGUCUUUUUUGCAUGUAUUAAUUGAUGAACACCUAAUCAUAUUGGGUGUCACCAUAUUUAUUAAACAAUUAUCAGCAACACAUCCAUGGUUAAAUUUUUAUUUAUUUUGUUAUACAAUAAGAAGUACAUAUGCGGGUCUUUAUUAAAAAAGGAUACCUAUGUGGGUUCAGUUGCAGGACCCAGAUGUUAGAGCCCAGAGCCUAUCGGGUACCAAUUAUAGCAAGUCCUAUCAGGAUCAAUAACGAUAUCCUAUUGGGUCCAUAAGCAUUUGGAUCAGCUCAGGAAUCCUUUUGGAUUUAGAGUCAUAUGGUAUUUGGUUAAACCUGCCCCACUUGGGAAAACGGCUAUUACUAUCCUUGUACUAUUAUAAAUAUUACACGUUUGUACUCCGUUUCACUUUACGUCCAAAACCUACCCUACCAUUAACAAAUUUGAUGGAAUUGCCCCUAACCCUAAUGGAUGGCGAAUGUGGCAGCUGACACACUCCAUGUCAGCUGCCAAGUCACUUAUUUACUCAAUUUAAAAAAAAUUAAAACAUAUCCCCCAACUAGUCCAUCUCAAAAAGAAUGACCUCNNNNNNNNNNNNNNNNNNNNNNNNNNNNNNNNNNNNNNNNNNNNNNNNNNNNNNNNNNNNNNNNNNNNNNNNNNNNNNNNNNNNNNNNNNNNNNNNNNNNNNNNNNNNNNNNNNNNNNNNNNNNNNNNNNNNNNNNNNNNNNNNNGAGAUAUGGUAUUUGGUUAAACCUGCCCCACUUGGGAAAACGGCUAUUACUAUCCUUGUACUAUUAUAAAUAUUACACGUUUGUACUCCGUUUCACUUUACGUCCAAAACCUACCCUACCAUUAACAAAUUUGAUGGAAUUGCCCCUAACCCUAAUGGAUGGCGAAUGUGGCAGCUGACACACUCCAUGUCAGCUGCCAAGUCACUUAUUUACUCAAUUUAAAAAAAAUUAAAACAUAUCCCCCAACCCCACCCCCCCGGACUCCCUACUUCUUCUUCUUCCAAGAGUUCUUAAUCUUUACUUCAAAAUUUUCAAUUCAAACUAGGCCACCCGUUAAUAGUGAACCAGAUUUAACCCCUUAAUUGGUGUUCUUCAUCCACUAACGAUUUCCAGUCAUCUUCUUCUCCAAAGCUCAGUCACAUUUUACUAUAUGAGUGAGGCCCGAUGAGUAUGGGGAACACAUUACCAGUAGCCUUGUUGCCCAGAAGUCGCCGGAAUCUCCUUUUUCGAAUUGCCAGUUAAUCGCAGAUAGGUUUUCCAAUAUAUUUCUCACAACUAGAUGAUCAAAAUGGCAUUGGUUUUCCUAGGGUGGUUGUUGAGAGGAUAAGAAACAAGAUGAAAUACUAGGUUUUUUACUUAGCAUGACAGUAAUGGCCAUAUCUUCAGGUUGGAAGCUCGAUGGUAAAAGGAAAUUAAAGAGUCAAAAGGGUUUCAAGGACAAAGUGCAGAAAGCUUUUGUUGGGUUGGUUAUUACAAGGUGGAACUUGAGUUGUAGGGAUCAGAUUGUUUUACGAAUGGCUGAAUCUGCCAUUUUUGUCAAUGAGCAUUAAUUUGCCGGCGAGAGGAUUUUGAGUUUUGAGGUCCUUUUCAUUGUCCAACAUAGUUGAAUUUUUUCAGAGAUAUAUCCAAUAAUUGUUAGCUGUUGCUUUGACAGUCGAAAAAUUUCCUUCGGACUCUACAGAUCUGGGACUUAACCGGAGUUCAUUCCGGUCAACUCUUUUUUUUUUCCUUUAAAUUUUGUCUUAUUUUAUUUAAGGGAUUAAAUUGGAUUCACUACUAACGGGUCAGUGACUGGAACAUGUCUUUUAAAAUUGGUUGCUGCUUUUGUCGUAACUCAAGGAGAAAGAAAGAGAAGGGGAAUAGUUGAGUGGAGACUAGACCGACUUGGCAGCUGACAUGGAAAAAAUGGAGAGGGUCAGCUGCCACAUUGGCCAUCCGUUAGGGUUAGGGGCAAUUCCAUCAAGUUUGUUAACGGUGGGGUGGUUUUUGGACGUAAAGUGAAACUGAGGACAAAUGUGUACUAUUUACAAUAGUACAAGGCUAAUAAUAGCCUUUUCCCCGCCCCACUUUCAUCCCUACCAUUGAAUAAUUGAAAUUGUAGAUUUCAACCAUGCAGAGUCUUAAGGUUUUCUUUGCUUGUGAUUGAAUAAUUUGCAGAAUGAGCUCAAGUAUGAAGAAUUAGUAUCUGCUAUAUGACAAGAUAUUCUUUCAAUAUUUUUAUCAGGGUUAGUUGGUAUUUUGCUUGCUCGUGUUGCAAAAACCGUCUUCAUAACAGGUAUACAAGAUUGAAAUGCAUAAGUUCUAACCUUUUCACCUGCUUAGUAUUACCAAUGCUUUGUUUGACAUAUAUUAAAGUCUUGCAUUAGUCACCAUCAACAAUGUUAUGCUUUUGCCUUCCUUGUCUCUGCAGCGGUUGCUGUGAUUAUGUCUAAUUGUCUAUCAUUAAGUUAAAACCCAAGUUUUGCAUGCUUUUGUCACGUCUAUUUGCUUAAGCCUAACUUGUAUACGACCGACCAUGGUGAUGAAGUACUAG